UGCCAGCAGCCGCGGUAAUACGGAGGGGGUUAGCGUUGUUCGGAAUUACUGGGCGUAAAGCGCACGUAGGCGGAUUAGUAAGUUAGGGGUGAAAUCCCGGGGCUCAACCCCGGAACUGCCUCUAAUACUGCUAGUCUUGAGUUCGAGAGAGGUGAGUGGAAUUCCGAGUGUAGAGGUGAAAUUCGUAGAUAUAGGAAGGAAUACCGGUGGCGAAGGCGGCCUCCUGGACCAAUACUGACACUGAGGCGCGAAGGCGUGGGUAGCGAACGGGAUUAGAUA
This 279-nucleotide ribosomal RNA is filed under the name uncultured bacterium. RNAcentral describes it as "partial 16S ribosomal RNA". It matches the Rfam family "Bacterial small subunit ribosomal RNA", at positions 506 to 784 of the family's 1533-position model. The record is from RNAcentral.